RNAcentral lists this ribosomal RNA (703 nucleotides) under uncultured bacterium. Its description in RNAcentral is "bacterial SSU rRNA". It matches the Rfam family "Bacterial small subunit ribosomal RNA", at positions 127 to 851 of the family's 1533-position model. The record is from RNAcentral.
UGCCCCGCGCUCCGGGACAACCGCUGGAAACGGCGGCUAAUACCGGAUGCUCCGGGGAGGCCCCAUGGCCUCCCCGGGAAAGCCUUAACGGCGCGGGAUGGGGUCGCGGCCCAUUAGGUAGACGGCGGGGUAACGGCCCACCGUGCCCGCGAUGGGUAGCCGGACUGAGAGGUCGACCGGCCACAUUGGGACUGAGAUACGGCCCAGACUCCUACGGGAGGCAGCAGUGGGGAAUUUUGCGCAAUGGGGGGAACCCUGACGCAGCAACGCCGCGUGCGGGACGAAGGCCUUCGGGUUGUAAACCGCUUUCAGCAGGGAAGACUUUGACGGUACCUGCAGAAGAAGCUCCGGCUAACUACGUGCCAGCAGCCGCGGUAAUACGUAGGGGGCGAGCGUUAUCCGGAUUCAUUGGGCGUAAAGCGCGCGUAGGCGGCCGCCUAAGCGGAACCUCUAAUCCCGGGGCUCAACCUCGGGCCGGGUUCCGGACUGGGCGGCUCGAGUGCGGUAGAGGCAGGCGGAAUUCCCGGUGUAGCGGUGGAAUGCGCAGAUAUCGGGAAGAACACCGAUGGCGAAGGCAGCCUGCUGGGCCGCCACUGACGCUGAGGCGCGAAAGCUGGGGGAGCGAACAGGAUUAGAUACCCUGGUAGUCCCAGCCGUAAACGAUAGGCGCUAGGUGUGGGGGGACCAUCCCCCCGUGCCGCAG